AGUAAUCAGUACGUAAUAUCCAGCCACAGGUAAGCUUUCUUUACAACCCUCUUGGCCACUGUUUCUGGCUUAACCUAAGAACAGCAGAGUGCUUCAGGCCCCUUGACUACUCUGACGCUCCUCCCACUGUUCCUAUAGCUGGGGAAGAUGUAAUCUUUCCAAGGAUUUUUUUCAGUUUUCAGGUCACACAGAUAGGACAUAAGGUGUCCCCUUGAUCAUUGUCCACAGCCCCGUUUGGCUCCAGAAAAUAUGUGCCAGGGCAUCCUGAAGAGGACCACAGUAGCCAGCCUGGGCAAGACUGCCUUUCACCGCAUGCACUCCCAUCGUUCUGGCUCCACAGGCAUCCUUUAUGGCCAUAGCAUCGUCCCUCUUCACAUUAUCAGUAAAGGCUAUGUCACUGCAGAAGAUACUGAGGAGUGUACUGUGUAGUUUUCCAGAGGCUAAAUGACAUGUGACACCGAAGCCAACUAAAUAUCAAAGAAGAUAUGAGUAUCCACCUGCAAAAUUGGAUAGAAUCCAAUUUCAUCUAUUAAGAUACCAAAAUAAUUUCCCUUUCUCACCUUGAAAUGACCUGAGCUAACAGAAGAAAUUUUCCUGCAUUGCUUAUGAGGAUCAUACAUAAAUCAAAAUGACCUGUUUGGAGGUUGCUGACAGUUCAGGCAUGGUGUCGGUGAUUAUGUGGAAUGCCCCAUGUCCUGAGUGGUUUAAAAUUUUGCGAGUUGGUUUAGUUUUUCUGCUUCAGGAUUAUUCUGUUAAAAAGAAUUAUCCAUUUAGAAUACAGCCUGUCCCCAUGGAUCCACAGAUCAAACUAAUUUCUACAAUGAGUUAAGUAUUCAAUAAAUUUGUUGUCUUAUGGCUAUUUUAUUUAUAUAAAUUUGCAAUAUACCAUAUUAGAAAUAAGACCAUAAAAAUUACUGAAACUGU
Non-coding RNA from Callithrix jacchus (white-tufted-ear marmoset), 924 nucleotides. The record is from RefSeq and is a predicted model, not a curated record. NCBI's taxonomy places the organism in Eukaryota, Metazoa, Chordata, Mammalia, Primates, Cebidae.